RNAcentral lists this ribosomal RNA (863 nucleotides) under Fusarium solani-melongenae. RNAcentral's name for it is "partial large subunit ribosomal RNA". It matches the Rfam family "Eukaryotic large subunit ribosomal RNA", at positions 74 to 967 of the family's 3401-position model. The record is from RNAcentral. Lineage: Eukaryota; Fungi; Ascomycota; Sordariomycetes; Hypocreales; Nectriaceae.
AUUGCCCCAGUAACGGCGAGUGAAGCGGCAACAGCUCAAAUUUGAAAUCUGGCUCUCGGGCCCGAGUUGUAAUUUGUAGAGGAUGCUUUUGGUGAGGUGCCUUCCGAGUUCCCUGGAACGGGACGCCAUAGAGGGUGAGAGCCCCGUCUGGUUGGACGCCGAACCUCUGUAAAGCUCCUUCGACGAGUCGAGUAGUUUGGGAAUGCUGCUCUAAAUGGGAGGUAUAUGUCUUCUAAAGCUAAAUACCGGCCAGAGACCGAUAGCGCACAAGUAGAGUGAUCGAAAGAUGAAAAGAACUUUGAAAAGAGAGUUAAACAGUACGUGAAAUUGUUGAAAGGGAAGCGCUUGUGACCAGACUUGGGCUUGGUUGAUCAUCCGGGGUUCUCCCCGGUGCACUCUUCCGGCUCAGGCCAGCAUCAGUUCGCCCUGGGGGAUAAAGGCAUCGGGAACGUGGCUCUCUCCGGGGAGUGUUAUAGCCCGUUGCGUAAUACCCUGUGGCGGACUGAGGUUCGCGCAUUCGCAAGGAUGCUGGCGUAAUGGUCAUCAGUGACCCGUCUUGAAACACGGACCAAGGAGUCGUCUUCGUAUGCGAGUGUUCGGGUGUCAAACCCCUACGCGAAAUGAAAGUGAACGCAGGUGAGAGCUUCGGCGCAUCAUCGACCGAUCCUGAUGUUAUCGGAUGGAUUUGAGUAAGAGCAUACGGGGCCGGACCCGAAAGAAGGUGAACUAUGCCUGUGUAGGGUGAAGCCAGAGGAAACUCUGGUGGAGGCUCGCAGCGGUUCUGACGUGCAAAUCGAUCGUCAAACAUGGGCAUGGGGGCGAAAGACUAAUCGAACCUUCUAGUAGCUGGUUUCCGCCGAAGU